UGGGGAAUUUUGGACAAUGGGCGCAAGCCUGGUCCAGCCAUGCCGCGUGCAGGAUGAAGGCCUUCGGGUUGUAAACUGCUUUUGUACGGAACGAAAAGACUCCUUCUAAUAAAGGGGGUCCAUGACGGUACCGUAAGAAUAAGCACCGGCUAACUACGUGCCAGCAGCCGCGGUAAUACGUAGGGUGCGAGCGUUAAUCGGAAUUACUGGGCGUAAAGCGCACGCAGGCGGUCUGUUAAGUCAGAGGUGAAAUCCCCGGGCUCAACCUGGGAACUGCCUUUGUGACUGCAUAGCUAGAGUACGGUAGAGGGGGAUGGAAUUCCGCGUGUAGCAGUGAAAUGCGUAGAUAUGCGGAGGAACACCGAUGGCGAAGGCAAUCCCCUGGACCUGUACUGACGCUCAUGCACGAAAGCGUGGGGAGCAAACA
This 427-nucleotide ribosomal RNA is filed under the name uncultured bacterium. Its description in RNAcentral is "bacterial SSU rRNA". It matches the Rfam family "Bacterial small subunit ribosomal RNA", at positions 355 to 774 of the family's 1533-position model. The record is from RNAcentral.